UACAGAGGGUGCGAGCGUUGUCCGGAAUCAUUGGGCGUAAAGAGCGUGUAGGCGGCCCGAUAAGUCCGCUGUGAAAGUCCAGGGCUCAACCCUGGAAUGCCGGUGGAUACUGUCGGGCUCGAGUUCGGAAGAGGUGAGUGGAAUUCCAGGUGUAGCGGUGAAAUGCGUAGAUAUCUGGAGGAACACCGGUGGCGAAGGCGGCAUCCUGGACCAACACUGACACUGAGGAGCGAAAGCCAGGGGAGCAAACGGG
This 253-nucleotide ribosomal RNA is filed under the name uncultured bacterium. RNAcentral's name for it is "partial 16S ribosomal RNA". It matches the Rfam family "Bacterial small subunit ribosomal RNA", at positions 524 to 776 of the family's 1533-position model. The record is from RNAcentral.